RNAcentral lists this ribosomal RNA (112 nucleotides) under uncultured Comamonadaceae bacterium. RNAcentral describes it as "partial 16S ribosomal RNA". The record is from RNAcentral. Lineage: Bacteria; Pseudomonadati; Pseudomonadota; Betaproteobacteria; Burkholderiales; Comamonadaceae.
AUUGAACGCUGGCGGCAUGCCUUACACAUGCAAGUCGAACGGCAGCACGGGAGCAAUCCUGGUGGCGAGUGGCAAACGGGUUAGUAAUACAUCUGAACGUGCCUAAUCGUUU